GACGAACGCUGGCGGCGUGCUUAACACAUGCAAGUCGAACGGAAAGGCCCUGCUUUUGUGGGGUUCUCGAUUGGCGAACGUGUGAGUAACACGUGAGUAACCUGCCCUUGACUUUGGUAUAACUUCAGGAAACUUGGGCUAAUACCUGAUAGUAGCUCCUGCUGCAUUGUGGGGGUUGGAAAGUUUCGGCGGUUGGGGAUUGACUCGCGGCUUAUCAGCUUGUUGGUGGGGUAGUGGGUUACCAAGGCUUUGACGGGUAGCCGGCAUGAGAGGGUGACCGGCCACAUUGGGACUGAGAUACGGAACAGACGAGUACGGGAGGCAGCAGUGGGGAAUAGUGAAAAAUGGGCGGAAGCAUGAUGCAGAAACGCCGCGUGCGGGAUGAAGGCCUUCGGGUUGUAAAAAGAAUUCGAAUGUGACGAAGCGUGAGUGACGGUAAUGGGUAAAGAAGCACCGGCUAACUACGUG
RNAcentral lists this ribosomal RNA (468 nucleotides) under uncultured bacterium. RNAcentral describes it as "partial 16S ribosomal RNA". It matches the Rfam family "Bacterial small subunit ribosomal RNA", at positions 28 to 507 of the family's 1533-position model. The record is from RNAcentral.